CAAAUGUCAAUGCAGUAAGGCUGCUUUGGGCUACAUGUCUGAAGGUGUCAGUGGACCAGAAGGAGCAGAAAAAUGAGAAAGAUUAACACCAAGAGAGCUCGCCUGGGGGUCAACUAAUGGGACCACUGCCAUCCUCCCUCUUUGCUUUGGAAAAGCAGCGAUUCCUUUUUUUCUUUCCCUUUCCUGAGGACUUGGUUACAAGAACUCCAGCAUUCACAAACCCAGAUGGGGGGACAAGCCGGAGAUCUGGCCAUGUAAAGAAAGAAAAAGAGUUCUUGAUCAAAAGUGUAUCGCCUUCCACUCAUCAGCUCUCCCUGUGCGCCUGCCUGUUCCUGUUGGAUGGGAAGAGCAAGGGAAAUAUAUGCAUAACCCUCCGCUGACAUGCCGUCUCGUUUGAUGUGGGAUUCUCGCCCCGUCUCUCCACCGUUACUGGGGAUAUUAAAGUGCUGCGUGGCUCUGUC
Long non-coding RNA from Micropterus dolomieu (smallmouth bass), 461 nucleotides. RefSeq lists it as uncharacterized. The record is from RefSeq and is a predicted model, not a curated record. NCBI's taxonomy places the organism in Eukaryota, Metazoa, Chordata, Actinopteri, Centrarchiformes, Centrarchidae. The transcript is spliced from 3 exons.